Non-coding RNA from Agrilus planipennis (emerald ash borer), 73 nucleotides. NCBI's taxonomy places the organism in Eukaryota, Metazoa, Arthropoda, Insecta, Coleoptera, Buprestidae. The record is from Rfam.
CCUCUCGUAGUUUAGUGGUCACAACAUUGGUGCCUAAAGCCAAAGGUCCCGGGUUCGAUUCCCGGCGGGCGUG